RNAcentral lists this long non-coding RNA (961 nucleotides) under Sus scrofa (pig). RNAcentral's name for it is "lncRNA (ENSSSCG00070019859.1)". The record is from RNAcentral. Lineage: Eukaryota; Metazoa; Chordata; Mammalia; Artiodactyla; Suidae.
CACGGAACCCGCCGCGCCGGCGCGACCCCCUCCCCCAGAGCCCUCGGGUGGCUUCUCCCGCGCCCUCCCGGGAUGCUCCUGCCGGCCGGGCCGACCUCCGCGUCCGCAUCUCUCUGGGGGGGGCGAGGGGACGGGACCGAUGCUCUCCUGUCCAAGGGGCCAGGUCCUCCCAGGGCCCGCCAGAAGAGCCAUACCCAACCCCACCGUCUGUGGGCAAGGCCAGCAGACCCUCUGCCCACUCGCAGGCCAGGGCUCACGACCCGAGGGCGCCCAGAGGGAGAGGAGGCCCCUUUGUGUGACUAAAUUUGGCAAGAAUAUGGAUCCGAGCCAGUCUUUCCACGUGUGCUCCCAGCUCCCAGCUGAGAAGGCCAAGGGUUCUCUUCCGGGAGAACCAGUUUGGCUAUUAAGGGAACCUCUCAGCACAGUGCAGAGCAAGAGAAAAAGCAAGAUUUCAGAGAGAAUAGCUGUUUACCAUCAAAGCGAACUGGGUUCCACACAGACAUGGUAUAUUAUACACAGAAACGAAGUGUCACCUGGGUUUUGCAUCAUUGUGAGCUCCCUCCUUCAGGGCACAGCUGAGUUUCUUGGGUGAGAGGAGGAAAAUCCCACACAGGUAUGCACUCCCUGGCAGAUGACAAAAUUACACUUUGUGUAUGUUUUGGAUUUUUCUUUUUACUCCUCAAAGACCCAACAACUAGGAGAAAUUCAGGCAACAAAGUAAAAUUAAUGAGAUUUUUGGGAUGAUGGAUGGAUUUCAGCUGCCAUCAUAGCACUGUCAAUAAUUGUGAACUGGUUAUAAACCACUUGUGGCAGGAAGCCCUAGAGUUUCCACUUCUAAACACAUAGCAAAAUACAGCACCAUAUCUCUACCACCCACAACACAUUCUAGCCUGCCUAUAGUUAAAUGAGCCACUGGAUCUACUAUAAUAAAAUCUUCAUUAGCUCGUUAGUCUAUGAUGUU